ACGGGUGAGUAAUGCAUAGGAAUCUGCCUUGUAGUGGGGGAUAACCCGGGGAAACUCGGGCUAAUACCGCAUAAUCUUUACGAAGCAAAGUGGGGGACCGUAAGGCCUCACGCUAUAAGAUGAGCCUAUGUUGGAUUAGCUAGUUGGUGGGGUAAAGGCCUACCAAGGCGACGAUCCAUAGCUGGUCUGAGAGGAUGAUCAGCCACACUGGGACUGAGACACGGCCCAGACUCCUACGGGAGGCAGCAGUGGGGAAUAUUGGACAAUGGGCGAAAGCCUGAUCCAGCAACGCCGUGUGUGUGAAGAAGGCCUUCGGGUUGUAAAGCACUUUUAGUUGGGAAGAAAAGCUUAUGGGUAAUAUCCAUAAGUGCUGACGUUACCAACAGAAAAAGCACUGGCUAACUCUGUGCCAGCAGCCGCGGUAAUACAGAGAGUGCAAGCGUUAAUCGGAAUUACUGGGCGUAAAGCGCACGUAGGUGGAAUUUUAAGUCGGAUGUGAAAUCCCCGGGCUUAACCUGGGAAUUGCAUUCGAUACUGCAAUUCUAGAGUAUGGUAGAGGGAAGUGGAAUUUCCGGUGUA
This 579-nucleotide ribosomal RNA is filed under the name uncultured bacterium. Its description in RNAcentral is "bacterial SSU rRNA". It matches the Rfam family "Bacterial small subunit ribosomal RNA", at positions 102 to 677 of the family's 1533-position model. The record is from RNAcentral.